Molecule: long non-coding RNA, 740 nt
Filed under: Salmo salar (Atlantic salmon)
Lineage: Eukaryota; Metazoa; Chordata; Actinopteri; Salmoniformes; Salmonidae
Description: lncRNA (ENSSSAG00000110842.1)
Source: RNAcentral
GCCAGUAACCAGCAGGUAGCCUAGUGGUUAGAGCGUUGGGCCAGUAACCAGCAGGUAGCCUAGUGGUUAGAGCGUUGGGCCAGUAACCAGCAGGUAGCCUAGUGGUUAGAGCGUUGGGCCAGUAACCAGCAGGCAGCCUAGUGGUUAGAGCGUUGGGCCAGUAACCAGCAGGGUAGCCUAGUGGUUAGAUCGUUGGGACAGUAACUGAAAGGCUGCUGGAUUGAAUCCUAGAGCCGACAAGGUAAAAAUCCGUCAUUCUGCCCAUCAGCAAGGCAGUUAACCAACAACAACAACUGCUCUCGCGUGACGUGGACGUGAAUUAAGGCCCCACACCUCUCUGAUUCAGAGGAAGACACAUUUCAAUCAAAUGCAUUCAGUUGUACAACGAGCUAGGCAUCCCCCAGGGUGGCUGUCAUACUGUUGAUGACCACUAGGUGGUACCAAUACCCUGUAUCUCUCUGAGGCUGUAAUACUGUUGAUGACCACUAGGUGGUGCCAACACCCUGUAUCUCUCUGAGGCUGUAAUACUGUUGAUGACCACUAGGUGGUGCCAAUACCCUGUAUCUCUCUGAGGCUGUCAUACUGUUGAUGACCACUAGGUGGUGCCAAUACCCUGUAUCUCGCUGAGGCUGUAAUACUGUUGAUGACCACUAGGUGGUACCAAUACCCUGUAUAUCUCUGAGGCUGUAAUACUGUUGAUGACCACUAGGUGGUGCCAACACCCUGUAUCUCUCUGAGGC